Molecule: ribosomal RNA, 274 nt
Filed under: uncultured bacterium
Lineage: Bacteria
Description: partial 16S ribosomal RNA
Rfam family: Bacterial small subunit ribosomal RNA
Source: RNAcentral
AUACGGAGGGUCCAAGCGUUAUCCGGAAUCAUUAGGUUUAAAGGGUGCGCAGGCGGUUUAUUAAGUCAGUGGUGAAAUCUCGGGGCUCAACCUCGAAACUGCCAUUGAUACUGAUAAACUUGAGUUCAGUUGGAGUAGGCGGAAUGUGUAGUGUAGCGGUGAAAUGCUUAGAUAUUACACAGAACACCGAUAGCGAAGGCAGCUUACUAAACUGAUACUGACGCUGAGGCACGAAAGCGUGGGGAGCGAACAGGAUUAGAUACCCUUGUAGUCC